Molecule: ribosomal RNA, 519 nt
Filed under: uncultured bacterium
Lineage: Bacteria
Description: bacterial SSU rRNA
Rfam family: Bacterial small subunit ribosomal RNA
Source: RNAcentral
AGAGUUUGAUUCUGGCUCAGAACGAACGCUGGCGGCGCGUUUAAGCAUGCAAGUCGAGCGGCAAGGGCCUUCGGGCCCUAGAGCGGCGGACGGGUGAGUAACACGUGGACAAUCUGCCCCCCGGCCCGGGAUAGCCCAGGGAAACCUGGAUUAAUACCGGAUGAGACGGGACCCGCGAUGGCGGGAUCCGGGAAAGGCGCUGCGGCGCCGCCGGGGGAUGAGUCUGCGUCCCAUUAGCUAGACGGCGGGGUAACGGCCCACCGUGGCGACGAUGGGUAGCCGGCCUGAGAGGGUGGACGGCCACAUUGGAACUGAGACACGGUCCAGACUCCUACGGGAGGCAGCAGCUAAGAAUCUUCCGCAAUGGGCGAAAGCCUGACGGAAGCGACGCCGCGUGAACGAAGAAGGCCGUGAGGUUGUAAAGUUCUUUUCGGGAGGGGGAACAACCGUGGCAGGGAAUGGCCGCGGGAUGACGUGAAUCCCGGAAUAAGCCCCGGCUAACUACGUGCCAGCCGCCGC